This 252-nucleotide ribosomal RNA is filed under the name uncultured microorganism. RNAcentral describes it as "partial small subunit ribosomal RNA". It matches the Rfam family "Bacterial small subunit ribosomal RNA", at positions 524 to 776 of the family's 1533-position model. The record is from RNAcentral.
UACGUAGGUGGCAAGCGUUGUCCGGAAUUAUUGGGCGUAAAGAGCAUGUAGGCGGGAAUCUAAGUCUGUUGUGAAAAUGCGGGGCUCAACCCCGUAUUGCGAUGGAAACUGGGUUUCUUGAGUGCAGGAGAGGAAAGGGGAAUUCCCAGUGUAGCGGUGAAAUGCGUAGAUAUUGGGAGGAACACCAGUGGCGAAGGCGCCUUUCUGGACUGUGUCUGACGCUGAGAUGCGAAAGCCAGGGUAGCGAACGGG